GCACGGACACGACUGGAAAGUCCGUUUUUCAAUCUUUCAAGAACCAUAACUCCUGAACGGUAAAAGUGAAAAUCGUCAUUAUUGAACUUGACCUCAUUUUAGUCAUCAGUAACAACAUAUAAAAAUUUAGGAAGCUUUGGUAGAACAGUUCAUGCAUAAAUGCACGGACACGACUGAAAACUCCAUUUUUCAAUCUUUCAAGAACCAUAACUCCUGAACGGUAAAAGUCAAAAUCGUCAUUAUUGAACUUGACCUUCAUUUAUUUGUCAGUAACAACAUAUCAAAAUUUUAAAAGCUUUGGUUGAACGGUUCAUGAGUUAAUGCACGGACAACAUUUGAUUGCCGCCCGCCCGCCCGACAGGCCGCCCGACGUACAUCCCCAA
This 383-nucleotide long non-coding RNA is filed under the name Mytilus galloprovincialis (Mediterranean mussel). Lineage: Eukaryota; Metazoa; Mollusca; Bivalvia; Mytilida; Mytilidae. The record is from RNAcentral.